ACUGUCCCUGGAGGCAUUUUAGGUGUGGCUGCUAUGUCACAUGUGCAUUAUGGGGUGGCAGAGGGGAGAGAAGCUUUGUCUAUGCUCAAUGUGUCGGCCUAUGAAUAUUUGAAUGCUUGGUAGCCUAACAUC
Rattus norvegicus (Norway rat) is the source of this 132-nucleotide small nucleolar RNA. Ensembl annotates it as small nucleolar RNA SNORA17. The record is from Ensembl. Lineage: Eukaryota; Metazoa; Chordata; Mammalia; Rodentia; Muridae.